UACAAUAUAAGAGACAUGAUCUAAUUGUGUCACUGGGCAAACUAUCGUAACUGAAUUUUAAAAGAGGGUAAACCUCAUUUCCCAAACCUGGAAAUUGAGAACUUGAUGUGCUUAACACCUCAAUUGCAUAAGUCCAUUCUUCAGGUGUCUUCUUGCAAGCCAUAGCUCGGCCAGUGGUAAUAAGUGCCAGCGGCAAACCACCACACUCCUUAGCCACUGUAUGUGCUAGCUCAACAAUAUCAGGAUGACUAUGCAGGGCUUCUUCCCCAACUUUCUGUCGAAACAAUUCCCAAGCAUCGAUAUCUGAUAAGCACGCGACUUUAAAUUUCUUAUGAGCUUCCAUCAAACCACAAACUUCUUCGGAACGGGUAGUGAAUACCACUUUGGAUGCAUUAUUUUGUGGGCCAGGAAGAGGGACGCCCACUUUUGUUAAAUCAACCCGCUGCCAUAAGUCAUCUAGCAACAGCACAAACUUCUUCCCCUUCAAAAUCCUGAAGAUGUCUAAAGCUUUCUGUUCAAUUCUUCUAUUCUUCCAUCCACCGUUCAACAAACCAAUCUUCUCCCCGAUAGUUUCUUGAAGGUUUUCAAGUCGCAGGUCUUUUGACACGACGACCCAUAUCACAUAAUUAAAAUUAGUUGGACUCUCAAGAAAUUUGUUGUUGAUCUGGGUCAAUAGUGUAGUUUUACCGACACCGCCCAUGCCGUAUAGGCCAACAAUUCCGACUGAUUCUUCUUGAAUACAUCUCCAAACUUGCUCGAGUUGCGAUUGCAGGCCUACUACUGUCGGCUCGAUAGGCCUUUCAUCCGCUACUGAUUCUGGAGCUCUCUCAGCUACCACUUCAAAGGCUCCUUCGGCCAUUAAAGUCCCGACAUAUCUUAGCUUUUUGGUCACUUUUUUGCCAAACUUGUAACUUGAAUGGCAGUUCUUGGAACAGUAGCCUCCAAGACAUAGUUUCUCAAUUUCUUGAGAGCCAUGUCUUAUCAAUUCAUCAGCUUCAGCUUUAACAGCGUCCACCCUCGAAAGCCAGCCUUGAACUUUGUUCAGCCUGGUCAUCAUUGGUUGCCUUUCAGCGUUGACGACUCUCGCCAUCACAUCGUUCUUUGCUUCGAUUAGUUUUCCCAAUUCAGUCUCCAAGGCUACAACAUUGUCUUGCAGGUUUCUUAUAUAUGCUGCUUUUCCAAGAAAGCAAUCCAGGCAACGACUGAAAAUAGCACCAUCGAUUGAGAUUUGCAAAAUGUUACCCAUUUUUUUUGGAUAAUAGAAAUCAACUACGAGAAACCAAGAUAAUUUUAGCAGAAGCUGCUGCUGAUUGAAAAAAUUGUGUUUUGUAAAUUUAGAAAGGAUUAGGCAUGUACCAUUCCUGACUGCUUCACUUGCCUUCAAUAAAUUAGCCUUUUGCUUUUGUAAUUAAUUUAACAUUUAUCCUUAACUCGUAAUUUAAUAAAAGAAUUAUUCUUGUUGUCAUUAUGACCUUGCUUUUUGUUGUUCCAUUUGUAAUUAAAUAUAACAACUUUUGCUUUUUUGUUCCACUAACGUAUAAUAUUACUUUUCUGACCAAGGCUUCCAAUAAGGUUGAUCAUGAUAAUUGAGGGGAAACAACGCAGCAAACCUUUUUUUUUUUUUUCCGAAUUGGCAUGUCGUUUAAAUAAAAUUCAUAAAAUAAAGAAACAUUGGUUCAGAAAAAUAAAUAUUUGAUUAAAAUUUAUUGUGUUUAUAUUACAUUAACCAUUGGCCGUCAUAGUAUAUGCAGAGUAAUUAAUUAAACCCCAUAUCAAUAAAGUAUUGGCUCUACUGGUAUCAGAGUCUUCUGAAGUAGUUUGACUGGGUUUGCUAUCCAGUUCGAGUCGUAGGGAAGUCGUAUUUGUUGGGAGAACAUGUGUCUCUCAGUUCAAGCAGAGACUUCUAAUCUGAGUUGUGGUACGAGCUUAAAGGUGCAUUCUACAGUUGAAGUCCUCCCUAAAAUACCUCGUGGUUAAGAUAAAAAAAAAAAUUAAUCAAACCCCAUUGAAAGUCAAAGUUGGUAACCGGCUAGCUAGAGCGCCAUAAUAAAAUACAAUAGAUAUAGCAAGUUAAAUCAUCUGAAAACCGACAUGAAAUGUUUAAUUGGGCAAAUAAUGGCAUUAGACUAAUGCAGUAACAUGAUAAUAUCAAAUAAUAAUUGUGUCAUAGAGAGUGGUUUGCAAACAAACUUUUGCUAAUCUUGAUUGUGACACCCUAUAUAAUAAACGAAAUUAGCCCCCCUUUAAUUGCCAAUUGCCAUAAGUUAUAGUAGUAAUUUUCUCAGCAAUUUCAUAAUAAUUCAUCAGUCAGCUAGAAGAAAACAAAUAUUUUUCCUGCUUCUCGAAUUGAAAAAACACCUAUCUCGUAGUUUUUAGUUUUUCCUCAAUGAAUUUCUCUGUUUGUCAAAAACAAUACUGUAAAACUCCCAAGAUCUUAUACUUUCCAUUUCUUAAAUACAACAAUUUCUUUCUGAUUUGCAGAAAAAAAUUAAUUCAGAACAACAUAUGACAAUAUGACUUCAUAUCAUACAGUAAUCAUCAUCUCUGUUUCCAACUGCAAAAGAUCCGAUUUCUAAAGUUAUAAAGCAUAUAUGUUUAUUUCUCUGUGUGGAAUAAUUUGAGUUAGGUCGAAGUGCAAAAGAUUUGACUUGAACUGUAUUCUAAAUGAAAAUAUAAUUAUAAAUAAUUGUAGACUAAUAAAAAAACUAGUUUUGAAAAAUAAUAAAACAAGAAUUUGAAAAAGACUAUGCAAUCGAGAUAUUCGAUUGAUCGAUUCUUGACUACUUGCGUUUAAUAACUGAGCCAAUCGUCUAUCCCACUUGUAUUCAAAAAAAUCCACUUUAAUUUGUAGUUUAUCGUAGUUUAAUAAAAGAUUCCAACUGGUAGUUUUGUUACUUUUGCUUUUGUGGAAUAUGCUCUUGCUUUUUCUGUCAGCAUUAAUUUGUAAGAAGAAGUUAAAAGGAACUACACAACCCCACACUGCAACAUACUUCUCGGCUUCAUAAUGGCAUGGCCCAUUCCACGGCCGAAGUAGCUUUAGAAAGUGCAGAAUCAAUAAUGUGGUUCAACGAAUGUCCUACACAUAUUUUGCACCUUUUUCAAAGUUGAAUUAUUGAAAGCUAAACUUUUAUUUAAAAAAUAUAUAUAUAUAACAACUUUUACUUUCUUGUGCGGUCGUGCCACCAACGAUUAAAAUAUUAAAAGCAAUUAACGUAUAGUAUUACUUUUCUCACCAACGUUUCCAACAAGGUUGAUCGUGACAAUGGGGAGGAGACAAACGCGCUGAUUUUCUUUCUUUCUUUCUUUUUUUAAAUUGGGAUAUCGUUUAAAUAAAAUUCAUAAAAUAAAGAAACAAUUAUUCAGAAAAUUCCUAUUUGAUUAAAAUUCAUAUUUGAUUAAAAUAAAGAAACAACGUUUCCAGUACACAGGCAUGAAGAAGAAUACCCAGAAUAUGGUAUCCUUGGUUUUGUUCUCCAAACCUGUCCCUCUCUGACAAAAAUCCCUCGCCGAUCCAACAAUCUAUCAAAUUCUCUUUAGAAAUGCAAUAAUCUUUUGGAUAUAAACUACAAUAUAAGAGACAUGAUCUAAUUGUGUCAUUGGGCAAACUAUCGUAACUGAAUUUUAAAAGAGGUAAAUGUUGUGAAAAUUUUAAUAUACUCGCAAGUGCAAGAAUCUAGAAAUAGAGUAGUGGUAACAAGGUCGAUCCCACAGGGAUUGUUAUAAAUUGAAAAGUCUAAUUUAAAUCUAAAAUUAAUAUUAAUUCUAACCUAGUUGACCAAAUUGAGUUUCUAAGAAAAUUAAACCAAUUAAACUAAGGAAGCAAUUAAAAUAAAGGAGAAUUCAAUAAGACAACAAUUACCAAGGUUUUAGAAUCCACUACUAUUCAACUAGUAAUUAUCUAAAUAUUAAUUAAUCUCCAAUUUUAGACUGACAACUCGAAAUCAAUCUAUGUCAUUUCAUAAAUAUAACAAUUAAACCCAAUUAAUUAAAUCUAACAUAGGUUCUUUUUCCGCUUAAUAGUAUGACAUCUAAGUAUCCCAUGUGAACAUAUUGAAUAACAAAGAGUCAAAGUUUUCCUAAGCACUUCAUGUAAACAAUUUAAUGAAAGACAUAAAAUCAAAGAUAAUCAUGUGUAAACUUUGUAAAUCCAAGUAUAGGUUUAAUCGAAUAUUAAUCCUAACAAUCAAUAAUGCAUGACAGAAUUGAUGAAAAGAUUUUAAUAACAUCAAAUUAAUCAUGUGAAAUAAAAACCAUAAUUAUUAAAGAACAUAUAUGAAAAUUAAAUAAAUAAAAAGAUAAUUAUUUCAUUGAAUAGGGUUUCAUCUUUAACUUCAGUAUAAGAAAAUUAGCUAGACAUACUUAAAUUAAGAACAACAAAAAAAAUAAAUCCAGCCAUGGAAGUCGAACUACUGCAGAUUUUCUUCUCUGUCUCGCGUUUUUCCUCCUCUGGCGGCUCUCCCCUACUCUAAAGCCAAAGUUUGGCUUUUAUAUUUUUAAUCCCUAGCCGAAUCCUUGUCAAAUAAUGAUAGCUAGUGAAUUGCUCACACAAGCUAAAAUCAGCCCACUCUUGCAAAGCCCAAUUAAACUUCCUUUAAUCCUUCAUGUGCUGGCAAAGCUUUUAACUUGUCUUGGCUUCUAUCACGUGUACUCCAAAAAGAAUUUUCAUUCCUUUUCCACUCACGAAAGUCAAGUGCGGGUCCUUUCUAUUGCUUUCCACCCCUUUAUCUUCUUUGUCCGCAUGUGCAUGGGUAAAUGAAUUUGUGGAAGUCGGUUUCCUUGGCUUGAAUUAACAUGGCAUAAUUGUUUCCAAGUUAAUUAAGCUUUAAUGCCCACAAAUUGAACUUCUUUAUGCUCUUUUUGUCCAUAAUCUCUAAUUAAUUCCCUAUUCAAUAAAACAAUACAAUUAAUUAAAAAUAACAAAUAAAAAUAACUAACAAUUAAAUAAUUAAGGGUAAAAUAUGUAUAUAAAUUAUGCUUAUCAAUAAACCUCAUUUCCCAAACCUGGAAAUUGAGAACUUGAUGUUCUUAACACCUCAAUUGCAUAAGUCCAUUCUUCAGGUGUCUUCUUGCAAGCCAUAGCUCGGCCAGUGGUAAUAAGUGCCAGCGGCAAACCACCACACUCCUUAGCCACUGUAUGUGCUAGCUCAACAAUAUCAGGAUGGCUAUGUAGGGCUUCUUCCCCAACUUUCUGUCGAAACAAUUCCCA
This 5206-nucleotide long non-coding RNA is filed under the name Citrus x clementina. RNAcentral describes it as "Citrus clementina (C. clementina) long non-coding RNA (CCLE_LNC001468)". Lineage: Eukaryota; Viridiplantae; Streptophyta; Magnoliopsida; Sapindales; Rutaceae. The record is from RNAcentral.